CGCGUAGGCGGGAACAUAAGUCAGAUGUGAAAUCCUGGAGCUCAACUCCAGAACAGCAUUUGAAACUAUAUUUCUUGAGGGUAGGCGGAGAAAACGGAAUCCCACAUGUAGCGGUGAAAUGCGUAGAUAUGUGGAAGAACAUCGGUGGCGAAGGCGGUUUUCUAGCUUAUUCCUGACGCUGAGGCGCGAAAGCAAGGGGAGCAAACA
This 207-nucleotide ribosomal RNA is filed under the name uncultured bacterium. RNAcentral describes it as "partial 16S ribosomal RNA". It matches the Rfam family "Bacterial small subunit ribosomal RNA", at positions 568 to 774 of the family's 1533-position model. The record is from RNAcentral.